CUCUUAUCCCGAGUUGGUGGAGGGACAGGCCCUUUGAAACCCAGCAACCUGCCAUAUUGAACUUGACUCCAAGAUCGAUCGCCGAAAAUAAAGCGAAGGUCUUCAAGGAACAGUGGUGAUGGUGCUAACCUGAGCAAGGUAAAAAACCCUUGAACGAUAAGAG
Molecule: non-coding RNA, 163 nt
Organism: Bacillus sp. FJAT-22058
Lineage: Bacteria; Bacillati; Bacillota; Bacilli; Caryophanales; Bacillaceae
Source: Rfam